RNAcentral lists this long non-coding RNA (1463 nucleotides) under Zalophus californianus (California sea lion). Its description in RNAcentral is "lncRNA (ENSZCAG00015006025.1)". Lineage: Eukaryota; Metazoa; Chordata; Mammalia; Carnivora; Otariidae. The record is from RNAcentral.
CCCGGGUAGAAAGCAGUGCAGUGGGGAGGUCCUGCUAGCAGCUGAGGGCCAUGCGAGAGUCCUGGACCGUGUGGGGACUCACCUGAGGCUGCUGGGCAGCCGCUGUAGGGGUACGUGCGGGCAGCCUACCCCGAGUGAGGAGGGGCUGGGGAAGGAGAGCCAGGGGCUCCAUCCCUCAUUUUGUUCUCUUGAAAGCUUGCCCAGAAUGGGAACUGCCUGUACUAGUAUCACCUGUAAAGGCAUUCAUUUCUACGUCUAAUUUAUCAGCCUUUUAUUAAAGUUCACAUAAGUUUUAAAAAAUUCCAUUAGCAUCAGCCACCAGAAAGGAGAUUUCAGAGAAUGAGAUGAUCAGGUUUCCAAGUUUAUUGAAAACCCUGUAGACGACCGCAUGGCUGCUUGGGCUAUUUCGGAAAGCCAGUGCAGACUGGCGAGCCUUCAAUAACGUGGGGGCGGCUGGGGGGGAGCGCGCACCUCGGCGGGUGCCAUCCUGCGGACGAGGCAUCGGGGCCGUCUGUGCCGGGAGAGCCCGAUGUCCAGCUCAUCAGAACCCCAUGUCAGCUACAGCCUGGAGCUCAGCAUUUGGAGGGGUGACCAGCCUUCAAGGGCACAUCAUCCUGGCCACGGUCCCGAGCUAGUACUUCAUCCCUGCUUUUUCCAGACAAAGAAACUAGGAGCACAGGGAGGAGGGAGCCUUCCUAAAACCACAGGAUGGGGGGCACAGGACCCCCUGAGCUCUGUCAGGCCAGCCCACCACCAAAAACACUCUGCGGGGGACAUACACAAAGAGCCCUGUGUCAGCCUGUGGGGAUGGGGCAUGACAGCGUCCACCUCGUAGGAGACCCCCAUGCGUACACGCUCACCAGAGCACCCGGCACGCAGACAGCUGGGCAGAUGGUGUAGCCGUGGGCCCGCUUGGAAUCCGAGGAGGUCUGUGAAAGUCUCAGAUGCGUGACUGGGAAUCUCGGUCCCUUCCUGCCAUCAUUCCUGGUCAUGAGUCCCUGCAGGCUCUGGGGUGCCCGUCCUCCCCAUGGUGCACGGGGGCUCCCUUGGGGGCCGAGUCCGAAGAGCUGCAUCCCAGACCUCCUUCUGGCUGCAGAAUGUACUGGCUUCCCUGGAGCUGUGGCCUGAGGGGUGAGGACACGCGGGGUUUGCGGAGGGCUGGUUUGUGAGCCUCUGCAGCACAGUCACCUCUGUGGCUUGUGGAAGAUUUCAUGCUCGUUCACAGGCCUUGCCCCAAGUUGACCAAAUCAGAGUCUCCUCCAGUGGAGGGGCCUAGAACCUGCAUUUGUAAAAAGCAGCCUCCCCCCACCCACCCGUGUCCUGGCCCAAUUCUCAGAGAUUCUGGUGUCAUUGGUCAUUAAUAAAUAAUGUAAGUAAAUAAAAUAAAUUAAUAAAAUUUAAUUUUUAACUUUUUUUUUUUUAAAGACCUUUAUGUUGGGCGCCUGGGUGGCUCAGUCGUUAAG